GAUUCUGGCUCAGGAUGAACGCUGGCGGCGUGCCUAAUACAUGCAAGUCGAACGAGGGUGCUUGCACCCUAGUGGCGAACGGGUGAGUAACACGUAGGUAACCUGCCCUUAAGCUUAGGAUACCCAGAGGAAACUUUGGCUAAUACCGGAUAACAACAGAUGAGGCAUCUCAACUGUUUGAAAGGCCCUGCAAGGGGUCACUUAAGGAUGGACCUGCGGCGCAUUAGCUAGUUGGUGAGAUAACAGCCCACCAAGGCGAGGAUGCGUAGCCGAACUGAGAGGUUGAUCGGCCACAUUGGAACUGAGACACGGUCCAAACUCCUACGGGAGGCAGCAGUAAGGAGUUUUCGGCAAUGGGGGAAACCCUGACCGAGCAACGCCGCGUGAGUGAUGACGGCCCUAUGGGUUGUAAAGCUCUUUUAUUAGAGACGAAUGGUGGGAUUAGGAAAUGAAUCCCACUUGACUGUAUCUUUUGAAUAAGCCACGGCUAACUACGUGCCAGCAGCCGC
RNAcentral lists this ribosomal RNA (509 nucleotides) under uncultured bacterium. RNAcentral describes it as "bacterial SSU rRNA". It matches the Rfam family "Bacterial small subunit ribosomal RNA", at positions 15 to 518 of the family's 1533-position model. The record is from RNAcentral.